GGCGCAUUCGUCUAGUGGCCCAGGACGCCGCCCUCUCACGGCGGUAGCAGGGGUUCAAAUCCCCUAUGCGCUACCA
This 76-nucleotide transfer RNA is filed under the name Thermoleophilia bacterium. Its description in RNAcentral is "tRNA-Glu". It matches the Rfam family "tRNA". Rfam says of the family: Transfer RNA (tRNA) molecules are approximately 80 nucleotides in length. Their secondary structure includes four short double-helical elements and three loops (D, anti-codon, and T loops). Lineage: Bacteria; Bacillati; Actinomycetota; Thermoleophilia. RNAcentral also lists the same sequence under 1 other name. The record is from RNAcentral.